Molecule: ribosomal RNA, 482 nt
Filed under: uncultured bacterium
Lineage: Bacteria
Description: partial 16S ribosomal RNA
Rfam family: Bacterial small subunit ribosomal RNA
Source: RNAcentral
AUUGAACGCUGGCGGCAUGCCUUACACAUGCAAGUCGAACGGUAACAGGUCUUCGGAUGCUGACGAGUGGCGAACGGGUGAGUAAUACAUCGGAACGUGCCCGAUCGUGGGGGAUAACGAAGCGAAAGCUUUGCUAAUACCGCAUAAGAUCUACGGAUGAAAGCAGGGGACCGCAAGGCCUUGCGCGAACGGAGCGGCCGAUGGCAGAUUAGGUAGUUGGUGGGAUAAAAGCUUACCAAGCCGACGAUCUGUAGCUGGUCUGAGAGGACGACCAGCCACACUGGGACUGAGACACGGCCCAGACUCCUACGGGAGGCAGCAGUGGGGAAUUUUGGACAAUGGGCGAAAGCCUGAUCCAGCCACGCCGCGUGCAGGAUGAAGGCCUUCGGGUUGUAAACUGCUUUUGUACGGAACGAAAAGACUCUGGUUAAUGCCUGGGGUCCAUGACGGUACCGUAAGAAUAAGCACCGGCUAACUACGUG